GCUCCUUUAGCUCAGUUGGUAGAGCGUCAGUCUCAUAGACUUAUACUUCAAGUUAUCUGAAGGUCGAGAGUUCGAACCUCCCAGGGAGCA
RNAcentral lists this transfer RNA (90 nucleotides) under Nadsonia fulvescens var. elongata DSM 6958. It matches the Rfam family "tRNA". From Rfam's summary of the family: Transfer RNA (tRNA) molecules are approximately 80 nucleotides in length. Their secondary structure includes four short double-helical elements and three loops (D, anti-codon, and T loops). Further hydrogen bonds mediate the characteristic L-shaped molecular structure. tRNAs have two regions of fundamental functional importance: the anti-codon, which is responsible for specific mRNA codon recognition, and the 3' end, to which the tRNAs corresponding amino acid is attached (by aminoacyl-tRNA synthetases). tRNAs cope with the degeneracy of the genetic code in two manners: having more than one tRNA (with a specific anti-codon) for a particular amino acid; and 'wobble' base-pairing, i.e. permitting non-standard base-pairing at the 3rd anti-codon position. The record is from Rfam by way of RNAcentral. Lineage: Eukaryota; Fungi; Ascomycota; Dipodascomycetes; Dipodascales.